UCGAGGCAGGGACUGAUCUUGUGCUGAAGCGGAGGAGGCUCCUGCGGAGGUUUUAUCUGUGGUGUCCUGCACAGGGGGUAGCUGGGAAGGAGACACAUCGUCAUUUCUGUGCGUGUUCCUAAUCCCCGCUCUGUUUUCUGCUAGCGGAGAACAUCACCGUCAUCAGGCCUCUCACACCUGCCCUGGCCGAGCCCCGGGGUGCCGAAGCUUGCUGCACAAUGCAGACCCAAAGCCUCCCCAGGGGCAGACCGAGCCGCUGCAGGGUCUGGCAACAACCCCCUCGUGCCUGAGGCUGUCUCAGACCGAUUUCCAGAAGCAGCUGAAGGCCAUCCUGCAAACCCUCCACCAGAGCUGGGAGAAGAAGAUGCUGUGGGAGCUGGGGAAGGAGCAGAAGCAGGAUGGGAGAGUCUGCCAGUGCCAGAGGGCUGUGAAGGGCCCCGGAGGCAGGGCUGAGCCAAGAUGCUUUUGAGAGGGAAGGAAGCAGCAGAAGAAUUGGCUGAAGAUGGCCUGUUAAUGCCGAAAAUCCUGGGUACAGCGUGCUGGGAAGCUGCACCCACGCUAGCAGGUGAGCUGGCUCUCCUGGCAGAUCCCUGGCAUCAUUUCCAGCCCCACCACUUCUUCCCAUGCCUCUCCAGCAGCGAUGGGCUUCCCCGACGUGCCAUCUCCACAGGGAGUCACCCCAAGUCCCCCCUGCCUUGCCAGCUAUGGGUGACCUCCCUUGUGAUCCAAGACACCUGGUAUUUAAAAGUAUUAAGCCUAAUUUUUAUGUGUUUUUAUCUCUUCACAGAUUGCAGGCAUUAGAUCAGGAUCAGGGGGGGUUUGAUCCCGGUGGAUCCCUCUUCCCAAAACCACCGAGGAGACCUUUGCGUCAGCAUCUCUCUGGGCUCAGCCCCUCUAUAAACCCUCUGUGCUUGGGCACAAGAGGGCACUGAAACACCAUUACGGUCGGACCGUUGGUAGCACAGACAGAGCUGCUGGAGCCAUGAAGUCCCUUCUGCAUCUUCCCCCUGGCUCGCAGGGUCCCUGUACCCGGAGGAGUGAGCGGACACAUCCAGAGGAUGCUCCUGCCCCUACACUGUGGUGUGCACAUCCAGGCUGUGCUCUUCCCACUCCAUUACAUCGCCUGAGAUGGUGGGAGCAGGAGCCGAGUGGAGCCAGCACCCGCUCCUGCAAGAGCAGACCUGUUAUUUCUGGAGCUGGGACCAGCAAGAGCAACCAAAUCCUUUGAGGUUUGUGCUUCUUGGGGUCACACACCCUCUCGCUGCCUGCAAAGCAAGCCUCCCUUUCACCUGCCGGGGUGAGAGCUGGUGGAAAUCAUGAGUCAGCGGCGUUCUGCAAAUCUGGGAGCACUUAAUUGGUAUUAAUCUCAUCAAUGCAAAUCAUAUUAACUCUCCUAGAAACACUAGGCCUUUACCAAUAGCAACACUGACGAUUCCAUAUAAAUCAAAUUUACCAGCCUAUAAACAUUAGUACAUCCCACAGACAUAUUCACCCUCAUAAAAAACAUCAAUUGCUGCCUGACUAUAUUAGUGGAAAUAAAUUACAGAACUUUAUCUCUCUGCCAUGAUUAUGGGCAAAACCGCAUAAAAGAGACACUUGGAAGAUGCUUUUGUGUCAAUUGUUACUGAAGUUGCCGAUGCUGUUCAGCUUCUUCAAAACGCUAUGAAUUGCAUAUAAUUAAGGGAUUUGAAAACCUUCAAUGACUAAAUGAUAAAAAUGUCCCUUUUGCAAGCCCUGAAGCACCUGUGUGAGCAAUUUUUGUGUAGGUGAGGAGAAUAAAAACAACUUAUUAAGCAUCACCUUUUGGGAGCAAUGCAGGAAGGUCCUUUUAC
Long non-coding RNA from Athene cunicularia (burrowing owl), 1832 nucleotides. RefSeq lists it as uncharacterized. The record is from RefSeq and is a predicted model, not a curated record. Lineage: Eukaryota; Metazoa; Chordata; Aves; Strigiformes; Strigidae. The transcript has 3 exons.